AUUGAACGCUGGCGGCAGGCCUAACACAUGCAAGUCGAACGAGUGGCGGACGGGUGAGUAAUGUCUGGGAAACUGCCUGAUGGAGGGGGAUAACUACUGGAAACGGUAGCUAAUACCGCAUACCAUCAGAUGUGCCCAGAUGGGAUUAGCUUGUGGGUGGGGUACAGGCUCACCAAGGCGAAGAUCCCUACCUGGUCUGAGAGGAUGACCAGCCACACUGGAACUGAGACACGGUCCAGACUCCUACGGGAGGCAGCAGUGGGGAAUAUUGCACAAUGGGCGCAAGCCUGAUGCAGCCAUGCCGCGUGUAUGAAGAAGGCCUUCGGGUUGUAAAGUACUUUCAGCGGGGAGGCUUUUCCCCCCCCUGAAGCACCGGCUAACUCCGUGCCAGCAGCCGCGGUAAUUC
RNAcentral lists this ribosomal RNA (406 nucleotides) under uncultured bacterium. RNAcentral describes it as "partial 16S ribosomal RNA". It matches the Rfam family "Bacterial small subunit ribosomal RNA", at positions 30 to 526 of the family's 1533-position model. The record is from RNAcentral.